CAUAUGCCACAGGUGUGGCCCUAAAAAGCAAAAAAUAAAUAAAUAAAUAAGCAAUGACACUCAGCGAGGCCCCAUAGCAGGUGGGUGCUGGCCCAGUGGGACCUGCAUCAGCAUCGUCUUGUUGGCUCCCUCGUGCCACCCCAGGGUCCUCUGUGCCUGGUCCCCUCGGUGCUCUCCUCUCUGGGCAUCUUCUAGGUCUCUGUUGUCCCAGGCUUCCCCCACCUCCAGCCCCCAUCCCCCACAGCCUCCAUCUGGGGAUCCACCCAGCAACACUUACAGCUCACUUCUACUCACCUUGGUUUUCAUUUUUUUUUCAUUGAUAAUGAUUUUUAUUUUUUCCAUUAUAGCUGGUUUACAGUGUUCUGUCAAUUUUCUACUGUACAGCAAGGUGACCCAGUUACACAUACAUGUAUACAUUCUUUUUUCUCACAUUGUCAUGCUCCAUCAUACGUGACCAGAUAUAGUUCACAGUGCUACGCAGCAGGAUCUCAUAAAUGUCACUUUUCAGCAAAGCAUUCCCUGACGCCAUUCCUUCCCUCCAUGUCACCAAGACUGCGUGUCACAUUUCGUUACCUCCUUUCUGUGCUGAGAAAGGCAGCCUCUUGCCCAAGGCUGAGCAUGGGUACACGGGGCAGGCUGAGGGGAGGCAGGCGCCUUGGCCCCGUGAGGUGUGGCCAACAGGCUGCAAAUGGAAACCCAGGACCUGCAGACGGAGAGGCGGGGGUUCCCUGAGUUUCCUGUGGCCUCACGCUCCGUGUCCCAGACCAGCUGCUGGAGAACCACAGCCCAGGUCAAUGACAAAGACAAGAGAAAAAUGGCUCCAAGGAUGUGGGAUCCAGAAACAGACACACCAGCCAGAGAGAAAACAGAUGGACAACAGAAAUCAGUGAACGUAAAGACAGGAUGGUGGACAUGGUGAAAACUGGACAAGAAAGAGAAAAUGGACUGAAUAAGAAACCAGCAGAGCCCCAAUGACCUGUGGGCUUAAACAAAAAAAUCUAACACUUUUGUCAGGAGAAUUCCAGGAGGAGAGGAAAAGCAGGUAUGGCUAAAAAGUAAGGAGGAACCAAUGGCUAAAAACUGCCCAGAUUUGCAAAAGACACACACGUAAAUUCAAGAAUCUGAGCGAACAGAUGAAGUUAAAGAAAUCCAUGACAAAAAUAUAUCGCAGUCAAAGGGUAUCAAAGUCAAAAUACUUCUAUUCUCACACUAAAGGCAAAGAAAAUGGAAAUAAUGAGAGAAAGAAUGCCUUCCCUCUAGGGUGAAAAGAAACAAUUACAGUGUAAUACUUCAGAAACCUGGGGAGGGGGAACUAACACCAGGCUGAAAGGACGGAUUAUCAGCCCACAAUCCUAUACCCAGUGAGAAUAUCCUCCAGGAAUAAGGAAGAAAUCAAGAGAUUCUUAAUAAAGUAAAACCAAGACAAUGUAUGAGCAGCACACUUUUCCUGAAAGAAUGGCUGAAAGAUAUUUUCUAAACAGAAAAUAAAUGACUGUGAGGAGGUAAGAAAGAACAGUGGGAAAAAAGUCAACGUAUGAUUAAGGACAGUAGACUUAGUCCUUUGUUUUGUGUUUUCUAAAUUAUGACUGAUGGCUGCAAAAAUAAUCACACUGGUUGAUGAAGCCGUCGAGAUGAUCACCUUGCAAAUGGAGAAGGAUGGAGGGAAAGUAAGAUGUGUACACUUCCCUUCAACUGUUGAGUGACAACGGAACCAGACCCUGUGCAAAUACAAUGCCGUACCGGUGACACUCAAGGAAAAAAAGCUUUGCAGGCAUAUAUGCUUAAGAAUACGAAAGAUAAAUCCAAGUAGAAGUACAAAUACAUUGUUUAAGUAACCUUCAGCAAGAAAAAAGAUGAGAAAGCACACACACACACACACACGAAAAAGAAACAGAGAGAACAAAUAGAACACAAAAAAUCAAGUGGGAAACUAAAGCCCCAGCAUAUCACAAGCUGUCUUAAAAGUAAAUCAACUGCAUAUACCAAUUAAAUGGCAGAGAUUGGUAGAUUCGAUUUUUUAAAAGAUGAUCCAGCUUUAGACUCUGUAGAAGAAAUUCACUUCAAAUAAUGCAACAUAGGUAGAUUGAAAGUUAAAGGAUGAAAAAAGAUCUCUCAGGAAAACAUAAGCAAAAGGAAGCAAAAUUGGAUAUAGUAAUUGAAAGAUAUUGUGUUGAUGAAAGACAAUAUUGUUAAAUUCUACUAAACUUGGUCUAUAGGUUCAAAGCAGUCCUCAUAACACUCUAGCUAGUUAUUUUAUGGAUAUCCCAAACCUGAUUUAUAGUUUAUUUCAAAAACAAAAGACCCAGAAAAGCCAACAAGAAACUGAGGAAGGAGGAUAAAGCUAGGUGACUUGCCUUCAUUCCUGCGGGACCUGGCGUGCCCCCUGCUACCACUUUACUCUUCCUCGUGCAGCAGCAUCGUUCUGCUCACUGCGAGGAGGUGCUUCUGACUUCUGGCCACCUCCAGCUGCCAAAAGCUGCUUUCUGUGCCCAGCUUCUGCCCUUCUAUAAUAACUUCUGUAAUGUCUCGGAAGGCUGUAGAACAUGCUUGUAACCGCUCGUUUACCAGUGUCCAUAGAAAUUAUGUGUGCAUGGAUGCUGGGGCUGUUUCCCAUUCAUCAGUGUUUCCUCCACGUAAGAACAACGCUUGAUGCAUAGUAGUAAUUUAAUCCAUACUAUACGCUAAUUAGAAAUUAAGGAUGAGAUGCUGAAGGAAGGAUGUGGGUCCCUGCAGACCAGCUCAGCAGGAUGGGGCUGAAGAACAGGUGCUGUGAAACUUAAGGGAAAAAGUUAACAUAAAACAGGACAGAGACAUUUAUCUUAAAUAAAGGUGGGAACUGGGGGACUCAAGGUCUCAGGACCAAGAGCCCCGCCUCAAGAAACCACACUGCUUUUAUUAUGCUCUUUAGGAUUACGUCAAGUGAGGAGGGGGCUAUGGGUGGGUGGAGGAUAUAGGGUUUAUUAUUUUAUAAGUUCUUUUAUUAUUUUAAAAGUCACUUAGCUGGUAAAAGGUUAAGCUUUUAUUCUGACCUUUAGGCCCAUAACAAUCAUUACCAUUUGAGUUAGCUGUCUGCAUAGCAUUUCAGAGAAUCUUCACUGUGCUUCCACAAAUGGCAUGCCUAUUUGCAGCAACCCCGUGUGCCUAGGUUUGCACCUUGGUUCUCUUUGCUAAUGCAUAUUCUGCUAACAACCGCUCAUAAUCCACUUGGCCAUGAGGUUCCUCUUUCUCUUAUACCUUAGAGGACAUAUCAUGCUUGUGCAAACGGCGUGCCAAUCUGCACAGGUCCAGUGUGUCUAGACCAACGCCUUACGUCCUCAUUCGCCUGACCCUAUGAAUAGCUUAUGCCUUUAGGUCUUUGUUCUUAAGCUUAAGUCAUUUACCAGCACUGUGACUGUUUUGCAAGCAGGAAGAUGGGAUAAAGUAAAGCAGGAAGAUGGGAUAAAGUAAAGCAGGACAAGAUGGAGUUUUCAGCAAAGAGGCUAAGAAAAUAUUGUAGAAACAUGUCUCUGACAGGUCCCUUCAUGUCACUUUGCCCAGUAUAACUUCUUUCAGAUGAAACGUCCCCCACACACAUUUUAUAGAAUUUGCUCAUGAUGACUUUCAUGUGUAAUUCCUCCACAUUAUAAAAAUUUCAUAAAUGUGAGUGAUAAGAAAUAACAUUUUUAUUUCAUUGAUAAUAGGUGUUAUCAAAACAUCGCCUACAUAUGAUUCGAUUAUAAAUAUAAAAACUACAAAGAAGGGAUUCACGGCAAACUUUUUUUAUUAUCUCAAGUUCAAUAGAUGCCUUUCAUCCAGGGAAACACACAUUUAAUGAAGUAAUAGCACCUCAAACUAGCAUGAAUAUGCUUUGGUUGAAUGACACGUUCAAAUAUACUUCAAACUCAUCAACCCAGCUCUGGAAACAGAUAUAAGUAACUGACAUUAACCGAGCUUUGCUAAAAUGUU
Molecule: long non-coding RNA, 3945 nt
Filed under: Sus scrofa (pig)
Lineage: Eukaryota; Metazoa; Chordata; Mammalia; Artiodactyla; Suidae
Description: lncRNA (ENSSSCG00065065060.1)
Source: RNAcentral